GGGGUGCGGGAGGGGGCCUCACAGAGCAGCUGAGACCUGGGUCAGCCUGGGAGGAAGGGGGUUGGAGUGGAUCAGCGAGCACCCCGAACCUGGACGCACAUGAAAAUCUCCUAGGGGCCUCCGCAAAACAAAACAAAACCAACAAAAAAAUCAGUAGGCCUGGGAAGCUGCACGUUGACCAGUCCCUCCCCAGAUGGCUCACAUGAUCAGUCAUAGAUCUGGGGACCCCAGACCCGAAGAAUGCAUAGCUUUGUUUCUAGCGGUGACAUCGCUUUAUUCCGCUCACUUGGUGUUUCCAUCUUUCCCUCUUCGACGGAAUCCGGCUCCAACCCGGUAAGACCUCCAACUUCGUAUCACAACACUAUCUUAAAGAACCCUCUAGAACCCAACCCCUUCAGCAAAGAAGGACCAGAGCCAGAUCAGGAGAAAAAGACUAUUUUUACUGUCCAAAUGCUUCACAUGGAUUAAGCAUUUGGUUUUCCUUGGAUUAUUAUUUUUUCCAUGAAUAUAAACCAUUUUGCAUGUUGGAACGCUUCUGCAAACAGA
Neofelis nebulosa (Clouded leopard) is the source of this 546-nucleotide long non-coding RNA. RefSeq lists it as uncharacterized. The record is from RefSeq and is a predicted model, not a curated record. NCBI's taxonomy places the organism in Eukaryota, Metazoa, Chordata, Mammalia, Carnivora, Felidae. The transcript is spliced from 2 exons.